This 101-nucleotide transfer RNA is filed under the name Pyronema domesticum. RNAcentral's name for it is "tRNA-Phe". It matches the Rfam family "tRNA". Rfam says of the family: Transfer RNA (tRNA) molecules are approximately 80 nucleotides in length. Their secondary structure includes four short double-helical elements and three loops (D, anti-codon, and T loops). Further hydrogen bonds mediate the characteristic L-shaped molecular structure. tRNAs have two regions of fundamental functional importance: the anti-codon, which is responsible for specific mRNA codon recognition, and the 3' end, to which the tRNAs corresponding amino acid is attached (by aminoacyl-tRNA synthetases). tRNAs cope with the degeneracy of the genetic code in two manners: having more than one tRNA (with a specific anti-codon) for a particular amino acid; and 'wobble' base-pairing, i.e. permitting non-standard base-pairing at the 3rd anti-codon position. The record is from RNAcentral. Lineage: Eukaryota; Fungi; Ascomycota; Pezizomycetes; Pezizales; Pyronemataceae.
GCGCUAAUAGCUCAGUUGGGAGAGCGUCAGACUGAAGUCAUUCGGUCCUAUCCAUAUCCGGGGUAAUCUGAAGGUCACCCGUUCAAUCCGGGUUUGGCGCA